GGGAAAGACAUGAGAGUGCCUUUUGGAAAAGACUUUUUAAGUUGUUGUGCAAACAAAGGCUUUCAGAGAUUGCUCUAGACGUUACAGCAUUACAGAUGAGAACCAGAUGCAUCCAUAUAGCAUGAUGCAAGAUAAUGUGAGGAUGCAAGGAUUACCAUGGUCCUGUGCACUAAUUUGGUCACUGGGAAAGAGGCUUAACACAUCAGUUUGAACUGGUUUCCUGGAAAAAAACACGGUUUCCUCUCAUAGAACUUCC
This 256-nucleotide long non-coding RNA is filed under the name Gallus gallus (chicken). The record is from RNAcentral. Lineage: Eukaryota; Metazoa; Chordata; Aves; Galliformes; Phasianidae.